GUGAGUGUAGCUCAACGGCAGAGCUCUGGUUUGUGGUACCAGUGGUUGCGGGUUCAAAUCCCGUCGCUCACCCCA
This 75-nucleotide transfer RNA is filed under the name Parcubacteria group bacterium ADurb.Bin247. Its description in RNAcentral is "tRNA-His". It matches the Rfam family "tRNA". Rfam says of the family: Transfer RNA (tRNA) molecules are approximately 80 nucleotides in length. The record is from RNAcentral. RNAcentral also lists the same sequence under 1 other name.